This 496-nucleotide ribosomal RNA is filed under the name uncultured bacterium. RNAcentral describes it as "partial 16S ribosomal RNA". It matches the Rfam family "Bacterial small subunit ribosomal RNA", at positions 28 to 523 of the family's 1533-position model. The record is from RNAcentral.
GAUGAACGCUGGCGGCGUGCUUAACACAUGCAAGUCGAACGAAGCACCUUAUUCUGAUUUCUUCGGAAUGAAAAAUUUGGUGACUGAGUGGCGGACGGGUGAGUAACGCGUGGGUAACCUGCCUCAUACAGGGGGAUAACAGUUAGAAAUGACUGCUAAUACCGCAUAAGACCACAGCACCGCUAGGUGCAGGGGUAAAAACUCCGGUGGUAUGAGAUGGACCCGCGUCUGAUAGGUAGCUGGUGGGGUAACGGCCUACCAAGCCGACGAUCAGUAGCCGACCUGAGAGGGUGACCGGCCACAUUGGGACUGAGACACGGCCCAAACUCCUACGGGAGGCAGCAGUGGGGAAUAUUGCACAAUGGGGGAAACCCUGAUGCAGCGACGCCGCGUGAGCGAUGAAGUAUUUCGGUAUGUAAAGCUCUAUCAGCAGGGAAGAAAAUGACGGUACCUGACUAAGAAGCACCGGCUAAAUACGUGCCAGCCGCCGCCGUAA